CAGUAGCCACGGGAAUACAGAGGGUGCGAGCGUUAAUCGGAUUUACUGGGCGUAAAGCGUGCGUAGGCGGCUUCUUAAGUCGGAUGUGAAAUCCCUGAGCUUAACUUAGGAAUUGCAUUCGAUACUGGGAAGCUAGAGUAUGGGAGAGGAUGGUAGAAUUCCAGGUGUAGCGGUGAAAUGCGUAGAGAUCUGGAGGAAUACCGAUGGCGAAGGCAGCCAUCUGGCCUAAUACUGACGCUGAGGUACGAAAGCAUGGGGAGCAAACAGGAUUAGAUACCCCCGUAGUCCAUGUCUCUUAUAA
Molecule: ribosomal RNA, 301 nt
Filed under: uncultured bacterium
Lineage: Bacteria
Description: partial 16S ribosomal RNA
Rfam family: Bacterial small subunit ribosomal RNA
Source: RNAcentral